GGGGGUAUAGCCUAUCGGUUAGGCGCUUGUCUGUAAAACAAGUUUAGAAUGGUUCGACUCCAUUUGCCCCUACCA
RNAcentral lists this transfer RNA (75 nucleotides) under Bacilli bacterium. RNAcentral's name for it is "tRNA-Tyr". It matches the Rfam family "tRNA". From Rfam's summary of the family: Transfer RNA (tRNA) molecules are approximately 80 nucleotides in length. The record is from RNAcentral. Lineage: Bacteria; Bacillati; Bacillota; Bacilli.